GGACUUAGUGAUCCGGUGGUUCUGCGUGGAAGGGCCAUCGCUCAACGGAUAAAAGCUCCCCUGGGGAUAACAGGCUUAUCUCCCCCAAGAGUCCACAUCGACGGGGAGGUUUGGCCCCUCGAUGUCGGCUCAUCACAUCCUGGGGCUGUAGUAGGUCCCAAGGGUUGGGCUGUUCGCCCAUUAAAGUGGUACGCGAGCUGGGUUCAGAACGUCG
RNAcentral lists this ribosomal RNA (214 nucleotides) under Clostridioides difficile. Its description in RNAcentral is "partial 23S ribosomal RNA". It matches the Rfam family "Bacterial large subunit ribosomal RNA", at positions 2408 to 2621 of the family's 2925-position model. Lineage: Bacteria; Bacillati; Bacillota; Clostridia; Peptostreptococcales; Peptostreptococcaceae. The record is from RNAcentral.